AGCCCGUGCUGAGGACAUUUCCACAAGAGAUCCUUGAACCUAUCCCAUGUCUCAAAAAGAGAUUCCAAUUCCAUUUUCACAAAUAAGGAUAUUUCAUUCCUAAGCUU
Molecule: small nucleolar RNA, 107 nt
Organism: Dioscorea cayenensis subsp. rotundata (Guinea yam)
Lineage: Eukaryota; Viridiplantae; Streptophyta; Magnoliopsida; Dioscoreales; Dioscoreaceae
Source: RefSeq, a predicted model, not a curated record